AUUGAACGCUGGCGGCAUGCCUUACACAUGCAAGUCGAACGGCAGCACGGACUUCGGUCUGGUGGCGAGUGGCGAACGGGUGAGUAAUGCAUCGGAACGUGCCAUUGAGUGGGGGAUAACGUAGCGAAAGUUGCGCUAAUACCGCAUAUUCUGUGAGCAGGAAAGCAGGGGACCGCAAGGCCUUGCGCUCUUUGAGCGGCCGAUGUCAGAUUAGCUAGUUGGUGAGGUAACGGCUUUACCAAGGCGACGAUCUGCAGCGGGUCUGAGAGGAUGAUCCGCCACACUGGAACUGAGACACGGUCCAGACUCCUACGGGAGGCAGCAGUGGGGAAUUUUGGACAAUGGGCGCAAGCCUGAUCCAGCCAUGCCGCGUGAGUGAAGAAGGCCUCGGUUGUAAG
Molecule: ribosomal RNA, 398 nt
Filed under: uncultured bacterium
Lineage: Bacteria
Description: bacterial SSU rRNA
Rfam family: Bacterial small subunit ribosomal RNA
Source: RNAcentral